RNAcentral lists this ribosomal RNA (320 nucleotides) under uncultured Methanosarcinaceae archaeon. Its description in RNAcentral is "bacterial SSU rRNA". It matches the Rfam family "Archaeal small subunit ribosomal RNA", at positions 321 to 640 of the family's 1478-position model. Lineage: Archaea; Methanobacteriati; Methanobacteriota; Methanomicrobia; Methanosarcinales; Methanosarcinaceae. The record is from RNAcentral.
CCCUACGGGGCGCAGCAGGCGCGAAAACUUUACAAUGCAGGCAACCGCGAUAGGGGAACAUCGAGUGAUCCUCAUAUUGGGGGUCUGUCCCACCGUCUAAAAAACGGUGGUUAGCAAGGGCCGGGCAAGACCGGUGCCAGCCGCCGCGGUAAUACCGGCGGCUCGAGUGGUGGCCGAUAUUAUUGAGUCUAAAGGGUCCGUAGCCGGCUUUGCAAGUCUCUCGGGAAAUCCAGCGGCUUAACCGUUGGUCGUCCGGGGGGUACUACAUUGCUUGGGACUGGGAGAGGUAGGAGGUACUCAGGGGGUAGUGAGUGAAACCC